Molecule: ribosomal RNA, 2782 nt
Filed under: Planctomycetota bacterium
Lineage: Bacteria; Pseudomonadati; Planctomycetota
Description: 23S ribosomal RNA
Rfam family: Bacterial large subunit ribosomal RNA
Source: RNAcentral
GAUUAGGCCACUAAGGGCACACGGCGGAUGACUUGGCGUCGAGAGGCGAUGAAGGACGUGGAAACCUGCGAUAAGCCCAGAGGAGUUGGUAAUCGAGCUGUGAUUCUGGGAUCUCCGAAUGGGGCAACCCAUCCCGACUUGUCGGGAUAUCGCGCGCUGAAUGCAUAGGCGUGCGAGGCAAACCCGGGGAACUGAAACAUCUAAGUACCCGGAGGAAAGGAAAGCAACAGCGACUCCGUGAGUAGCGGCGAGCGAAAGCGGAUCAGCCGACAGACCGAAUGAACGCGUUGGAAUGCGCGGCCUGAGAAGGUGAAAGCCCUGUAACUGCGAGUUGGCCAGUCAUAGAGUAGGUUCGGGCUCGUGAAACCCGGAUUGAACAUGGGGGGUCCACCCUCCAAGGCUAAGUACUCCUCGACGACCGAUAGUGAAUAAGUAAAGUGAUUGAAGGUUGACAAGCACCGCGAUGAGCGGAGUGAAAGAGUACCUGAAACCGUGUGCCUACAAGCGGUCGGAGCUGCAUUUCGAUGUGGUGACGGCGUGCUUUUUGCAUAAUGAGCCCGCGAGUUAGCCUUUGCGGCGAGCCUAAGGUCUACCGGACCGGAGGCGGAGCGAAAGCGAGUCUGAACAGGGCGUUCAGUCGCAGGGGCUAGACGCGAAACCCGUGUGAUCUACCCAUGGCCAGGUUGAAGGGGGGGUAAGACCCUCUGGAGGACCGAACACGUUAACGUUGAAAAGUUAUGUGAUGAGCUGUGGGGAGGAGUAAAAGUCUAAUCAAACCGGGAGAUAGCUCGUUCUCUCCGAAAUAACUUUAGGGUUAGCCUCAGGGUGCAACGAUCGGGGGUAGAGCUACUGGAUGAGUGGUGGGGGCUACCCGCCUACCCCAUUCAACCAAACUCCGAAUACCGAUCGCCAAGUCCUGGGAGAUAGCCCACGAGUGACAAUAUCCGUGGACAAAAGGAGAAGAAUCCAGAUCGCCGGCUAAGGCCCCAGAUCUGUGCUUAGUUCGAAAGGAAGUCAGACUGCCGUGACAGCCAGGAUGUUGGCUUAGAAGCAGCCAUCAUUUAAAGAGUGCGUAACAGCUCACUGGUCGAGGAGUUUGGCGCCGAUAAUGAUCGGGAAUAAGCAGAGAGCCGAAGCUGCGGGCUCCAACUUUUGUUGGAGCGGUAGGAGAGCGUUCUUGUCGGCUGUGAAGCGAUCCUGUAAAGGUUCGUGGAGCGUCAGGAAGUGAAGAUGCGGGCUUGAGUAACGAUAAACAAGGUGAGAAUCCUUGUCGCCGAAAACCCAAGGUUUCCUGGGGAAGGUAAAUCCGCCCAGGGUUAGUCGGGACCUAAGGCGAGGCCGAAAGGCGUAGUCGAUGGACAGCUGGCUAAUAUUCCAGCACCCUCGCCGCGAUCAAACCACAGUGCGGAUUCCCCCGCUCGACUGGGCGACCAGUUGUGCCCAGGCCUUCAAGGCCGUUGUCGGGGUCGGGAGUUCCUAGAAAAGCUGUGGGGGCAACGCGAGGCCCGUACCAAAACUGACACAGGUGGGUGAGGCGAAUAGCCUCAGGCGCUCGAGAGAACGGUCGUGAAGGAACUAGGCAAAUUAACCCCGUACGUUCGCAAUAAGGGGGCCCUCCUCGCAAGAGAGGGCGCAGAGAAAAGGCUCUGGCAACUGUUUAUCAAAAACACAGCACUGUGCUAACUCGCAAGAGGAUGUAUACAGUGUGACGCUUGCCCAAUGCCGGAAUGUCACGGAAGCGGGUUAGCUUCGGCGAAGCUCGUGACCUAAGCACCGGUCAAUGGCGGCCGUAACUAUGACGGUCCUAAGGUAGCGAAGUUCCUUGUCGGGUAAGUUCCGACGCGCAUGAAUAGCGUAAUGACUGGAGCACUGUCUCCACGACCGACUCGGUGAAAUAGUAGUGGCGGUGAAGAUGCCGCCUACCCGCAGCAAGACGGAAAGACCCCGUGGACCUUUACUGCAGGCUUCUAUUGGUCACGAGCAUAUACCGCGUAGCAUAGGUGGGAGGCUUUGAAGUCCCGAUUUCGGUCGGGAUGGAGCCACAGGUGAAAUACCACCCUUUAUACGUUUGUGGCCUAACCUCGAUUCCCGUGAAUCCGGGCGAGGGACAGUGGGUGCUGGGCAGUUUGACUGGGGCGGUCUCCUCCUAAAGAGUAACGGAGGAGCGCAAUGGUUGGUUCAGCACGGAUGGAAACCGUGUUCCGAGUGUAAAGGCACAAGCCAGCUUUACUGCGAGUCCGACGGGACGAGCAGUUACGAAAGUAGGCCUUAGUGAUCCUGCGAUCGCGUGUGGAAGCGUCGUAGCUCAACGGAUAAAAGGUACCCCGGGGAUAACAGGCUUAUCGCACCCGAGCGUCCAUAGCGGCGGUGCGGUUUGGCACCUCGAUGUCGGCUCAUCACAUCCUGGGGCUGUAGGCGGUCCCAAGGGUUCGGCUGUUCGCCGAUUAAAGUGGUACGCGAGCUGGGUUCAGACCGGCGUGAGCCAGGUCGGUCCCUAUCUACCGUGGGCGUAGGAAUUUUGAAGGAGAUGUUUCCUUAGUACGAGAGGAUUAGGAAGCACUGACCUCUGGUGUACCGGUUGUUCCGCUAGGGGCACCGCCGGGUAGCUAAGUCGGGAAAGGAUAACCGCUGAAAGCAUCUAAGCGGGAAGCCCACUCCAAGAUUAGAAUUCCAUGGACUUAGGUCCGAGAGAGCCCAGAUAGACUAUCUGGUUGAUAGGCCGGGUGUGUAAGCAGCGAAAUCUGUUCAGCUAACCGGUACUAACGCUCGAUAACUUGACCAU